Molecule: ribosomal RNA, 414 nt
Filed under: Triticum aestivum (bread wheat)
Lineage: Eukaryota; Viridiplantae; Streptophyta; Magnoliopsida; Poales; Poaceae
Description: partial small subunit ribosomal RNA
Source: RNAcentral
AUGGUUGGGCUUGCUACAAAGUUUUAUGCUAAUGAUUUCACAAGUGAUGAACUGGCAAGACUUCCAUGGCAAUUAAACAUGUAUGUUACUCAUGUGCGUAGAGAUGAAAGGUUUCAAAACUUGAAGAAUCUGUGUGAGUUUUCAGUUAUGCUUGUCGAGACAAACAAGCAUGAACAAUACUAUAUUGUUUACAAGCUUCUUAAGUUGGUAUUAAUUCUGCCAGUAGCUACUGCUAGUGUUGAAAGGGUGUUCUCUUCAAUGAACUAUGUGAAGAAUAAGCUAAGGAGCAAAAUGGGUGAUGAUUACUUAAACAAUUAUUUGGUUACAUUUGUUGAGAGGGAAUUCUUCAAUCAAGUAAAGGAUGAGGAUGUCAUCAAUCUCUUCCAAAAAGGCGAUCGCAAAGUUAUAUUGUAA